RNAcentral lists this ribosomal RNA (396 nucleotides) under uncultured bacterium. Its description in RNAcentral is "bacterial SSU rRNA". It matches the Rfam family "Bacterial small subunit ribosomal RNA", at positions 29 to 433 of the family's 1533-position model. The record is from RNAcentral.
AUUGAACGCUGGCGGAAUGCUUAACACAUGCAAGUCGAGCGGGGGUGUAGCAAUACACCUAGCGGCGGACGGGUGAGGAAUACAUAGGAAUCUGCCUCAGAGCGGGGGAUAGCCCGGGGAAACCCGGAUUAAUACCGCAUGAUGUCGCAAGACCAAAGUGGGGGACCGCAAGGCCCCACACUCUGAGAUGAGCCUAUGUCCGAUUAGCUAGUUGGCGGGGUAAUAGCCCACCAAGGCGACGAUCGGUAGCUGGCCUGAGAGGACGAUCAGCCACACCGGAACUGAGACACGGUCCGGACUCCUACGGGAGGCAGCAGUGGGGAAUAUUGGACAAUGGGCGCAAGCCUGAUCCAGCGACGCCGCGUGGGUGAAGAAGGCCUGCGGGUUGUAAAGCCC